This 60-nucleotide transfer RNA is filed under the name Pseudoniphargus sp. 1-Basque. Its description in RNAcentral is "tRNA-Lys". The record is from RNAcentral. Lineage: Eukaryota; Metazoa; Arthropoda; Malacostraca; Amphipoda; Allocrangonyctidae.
UAUCUGGUGGCCGACAAAGGCCUGAGUCUUUUAAACUCAUUAUAGAUACCCUUCAGAUUA